RNAcentral lists this ribosomal RNA (451 nucleotides) under Priestia megaterium. RNAcentral's name for it is "bacterial LSU rRNA". It matches the Rfam family "Bacterial large subunit ribosomal RNA", at positions 1 to 443 of the family's 2925-position model. The record is from RNAcentral. Lineage: Bacteria; Bacillati; Bacillota; Bacilli; Caryophanales; Bacillaceae.
AUGGUUAAGUUAGAAAGGGCGCACGGUGAAUGCCUUGGCACUAGGAGCCGAUGAAGGACGGGACUAACACCGAUAUGCUUCGGGGAGCUGUAAGUGAGCUUUGAUCCGGAGAUUUCCGAAUGGGGAAACCCACUGUUCGUAAUGGAACAGUAUCUUUAUCUGAAUACAUAGGAUAUUGARGGCAGACCCGGGGAACUGAAACAUCUAAGUACCCGGAGGAAGAGAAAGCAAAUGCGAUUUCCUGAGUAGCGGCGAGCGAAACGGAAUUAGCCCAAACCAAGAGGCUUGCCUCUUGGGGUUGUAGGACACUCUAUACGGAGUUACAAAGGAACGAAGUAAAUGAAGCGACCUGGAAAGGUCCGUCGAAGAAGGUAACAACCCUGUAGUUGAAACUUCGUUCCCUCUUGAGUGGAUCCUGAGUACGGCGGAACACGUGAAAUUCCGUCGGAAG